AACGAACGCUGGCGGCAUGCCUAACACAUGCAAGUCGAACGAGACCUUCGGGUCUAGUGGCGCACGGGUGCGUAACGCGUGGGAACCUGCCCUUAGGUUCGGAAUAACUCCCCGAAAGGGGUGCUAAUACGGGAUAAUGUCUUCGGACCAAAGAUUUAUCGCCUUUGGAUGGGCCCGCGUUGGAUUAGCUAGUUGGUAGGGUAAAAGCCUACCAAGGCGACGAUCCAUAGCUGGUCUGAGAGGAUGAUCAGCCACACUGGGACUGAGACACGGCCCAGACUCCUACGGGAGGCAGCAGUGGGGAAUAUUGGACAAUGGGCGAAAGCCUGAUCCAGCAAUGCCGCGUGAGUGAUGAAGGCCUUAGGGUUGUAAAGCUCUUUUACCCGGGAUGAUAAUGACAGUACCGGGAGAAUAAGCUCCGGCUAACUCCGU
Molecule: ribosomal RNA, 432 nt
Filed under: uncultured bacterium
Lineage: Bacteria
Description: partial 16S ribosomal RNA
Rfam family: Bacterial small subunit ribosomal RNA
Source: RNAcentral